AUGAAAAGUUUAAAUGGCCGCAGUACCCUGACUGUGCUAAGGUAGCAUAAUCAAUUGGCCUUUAAUUGAGGUCUGGAAUGAAUGGAUUAAUACGGAAACUAACUGUCUCUUUUUAGAAUUUGUUGAAGUUAUCUUUAAAGGUGAAAAGGCCUUUAAUAUGUGAAAAUAGACGAGAAGACCCUAAGAGUUUUGAUUAUAGGUAAAGGUUUUUGCUUUUUUUUUUGCUGGGGCGGCAAGGAAACAAAUUAACUUUCUUGGUAAAAUUAACAAAGUUGACGCGAAAUUUUAUGAAGAGCUAAUAAAUUACCUUAGGGAUAACAGCAUAAUUAUUUUAAUGUUUGUGACCUCGAUGUUGGACUAGGAAAGCUUCAAAUGGCUAGCCGCCAAAAGUAUUAUGUUCUGUUCGAACAGU
This 412-nucleotide ribosomal RNA is filed under the name Wallaconchis achleitneri. RNAcentral describes it as "partial 16S ribosomal RNA". It matches the Rfam family "Archaeal large subunit ribosomal RNA", at positions 1989 to 2658 of the family's 2987-position model. Lineage: Eukaryota; Metazoa; Mollusca; Gastropoda; Systellommatophora; Onchidiidae. The record is from RNAcentral.